GGGGUUGUGGCUCAGUGGCAGAGCACUCGCCUAGCAUGUGUGAGGCACUGGGUUCAAUUCUCAGCACCGCA
This 71-nucleotide transfer RNA is filed under the name Marmota monax (woodchuck). Its description in RNAcentral is "tRNA.Ala". It matches the Rfam family "tRNA". From Rfam's summary of the family: Transfer RNA (tRNA) molecules are approximately 80 nucleotides in length. Their secondary structure includes four short double-helical elements and three loops (D, anti-codon, and T loops). Further hydrogen bonds mediate the characteristic L-shaped molecular structure. tRNAs have two regions of fundamental functional importance: the anti-codon, which is responsible for specific mRNA codon recognition, and the 3' end, to which the tRNAs corresponding amino acid is attached (by aminoacyl-tRNA synthetases). tRNAs cope with the degeneracy of the genetic code in two manners: having more than one tRNA (with a specific anti-codon) for a particular amino acid; and 'wobble' base-pairing, i.e. permitting non-standard base-pairing at the 3rd anti-codon position. Lineage: Eukaryota; Metazoa; Chordata; Mammalia; Rodentia; Sciuridae. The record is from RNAcentral.